This 493-nucleotide ribosomal RNA is filed under the name Junodia amoena. Its description in RNAcentral is "partial 16S ribosomal RNA". Lineage: Eukaryota; Metazoa; Arthropoda; Insecta; Mantodea; Hymenopodidae. The record is from RNAcentral.
GGUUUCUUGUAUAAUUAUAAGAAAUUUGACCUGCCCACUGAAAUAUUAAUUGAAGGGCCGCAGUAUUUUGACUGUGCAAAGGUAGCAUAAUCAUUAGUCUUUUAAUUGAAGGCUGGUAUGAAUGGUUGGAUGAGGUAAAAUCUGUUUUAUAUUUAUUUAAAUUGAAUUUAGAUUUUAAGUAAAAAGACUUAAAUUUAAUUAAGGGACGAGAAGACCCUAUAGAGUUUAAUAAAUGUAGUAAAUAAUUAAGUUAUUUUUAAAUUUUUAAUUAUUAUAAUAUUUAUUUAGUUGGGGUGAUUAGAAGAUAAAAAAAACUCUUCUUUAAUUUUUAUAAUUUAAUUAGUUUAAAGAUCCAUAAUUUAAUGAUUGAAAGAUUAAAUUACCUUAGGGAUAACAGCAUAAUUUUUUUUAAGAGUUCAUAUUGAAAAAGAAGAUUGUGACCUCGAUGUUGGAUUAAGAGUAGUAUUAGGUGUAGAUGUUUAUAUACUAGGUC